AGCGAACGCUGGCGGCAGGCUUAACACAUGCAAGUCGAGCGGGCACUUUCGGGUGUCAGCGGCGGACGGGUGAGUAACGCGUGGGAACGUGCCCUCUGGUUCGGAAUAACUCAGGGAAACUUGAGCUAAUACCGGAUACGCCCUUUUGGGGAAAGGCUUGCUGCCGGAGGAUCGGCCCGCGUCUGAUUAGCUAGUUGGUGAGGUAACGGCUCACCAAGGCGACGAUCAGUAGCUAGUCUGAGAGGAUGAUCAGCCACACUGGGACUGAGACACGGCCCAGACUCCUACGGGAGGCAGCAGUGGGGAAUAUUGGACAAUGGGCGCAAGCCUGAUCCAGCCAUGCCGCGUGAGUGAUGAAGGCCUUAGGGUUGUAAAGCUCUUUUAUCCGGGACGAUAAUGACGGUACCGGAGGAAUAAGCCCCGGCUAACUUCGUG
RNAcentral lists this ribosomal RNA (435 nucleotides) under uncultured bacterium. Its description in RNAcentral is "partial 16S ribosomal RNA". It matches the Rfam family "Bacterial small subunit ribosomal RNA", at positions 29 to 507 of the family's 1533-position model. The record is from RNAcentral.